This 380-nucleotide long non-coding RNA is filed under the name Homo sapiens (human). Its description in RNAcentral is "HSALNT0082656". Lineage: Eukaryota; Metazoa; Chordata; Mammalia; Primates; Hominidae. The record is from RNAcentral.
UAGAGCUAGAGAUGAAACCUAAAUGGCUCAGCCCUGGCUUUAGGUUUGGCCUAGAUGGUUUGAACCUAUUCUAAAAUAUUAACCUGACCUCAGGAUUUCACUGUCACAUCUAGCUUUACACUCAGAAAAACUGAGGUCAGGUUAAUAUUUAAGAAAUAGAUGUGUCAGUUUCCUUAUCUUAUUCUUAGAUACAAACAAUAGAAUAGUAUUUCAUCCUUUAAUUGAAGUAUUUUAGUUAUUUAUAUAUUCUAAGUGGAUGACUAAUAAUUCCAUUUAUUGGUCUCAUGGCUAGAAGAUUUAUACCACCUAUUUUGGCAUAUAAUGUGUACAAUUUCCCUGACAUGGAUAAUAUAUGGAAGAUUGUAGAAAGCAAUAAGAAU